AACGCACAUUGCGCCCGCCAGUAUUCUGGCGGGCAUGCCUGUCCGAGCGUCAUUUCAACCAUCAAGCCCUGGGCUUGUGUUGGGGACCUGCGGCUGCCCGCAGGCCCUGAAAACCAGUGGCGGGCUCGCCGACACUCCGAGCGCAGUAGUAUCUAUCUCGCUCAGGGCGUGUCGCGGGUUCCGGCCGUUAAACGAGGGGCGACCCCGUCACCUCUCCCCCAAAAGGUUGACCUCGGAUCAGGUAGGAAGACCCGCUGAACUUAA
RNAcentral lists this unclassified non-coding RNA (264 nucleotides) under uncultured fungus. RNAcentral describes it as "partial contains 5.8S ribosomal RNA, internal transcribed spacer 2, and large subunit ribosomal RNA". The stretch from base 1 to 52 matches the Rfam family "5.8S ribosomal RNA", at positions 103 to 154 of the family's 154-position model. The record is from RNAcentral. Lineage: Eukaryota; Fungi.